AGGAGGCGUCUACCCCCGGUAAUUUCAAAACCGGAUGCGCGAGCUCAGUUGUUAUGAAGCGAGUUUAACGUCUCAUUAACGACUACGAUCAAAAAGAAAAAGUUCAACAAAUAAUUUUUUUUACAACUAAUUUGGACAAAGUCAAAAGAAGAGGUGAAAGUCUAAUACAGAGAUGGAAGAAGGAGAAACCGCAUCGACACUUUCCAGAAAAGAACUACGGAAACAGAAGUUGAUGGAGUACUUGGCGGCAAAAGGACGGCUGAAACCAUCCAACCCCAAGCCUUACCUGCGCGAUGACUGUCUGAAGCCUGUUGUGUCUGCACGAAAGGUUGCUGAGGGAAAAGAGAACAAGGCUCCCAUUGACAGACUCAGAUAUGAGGGCUCAAAAGGUCAAACUCUGCCUGCUCAACCCACAAAACACCCCUCCACAAGAGCAUUUAGGGUCACUAACAAAGAGAAUGUCAGAGUAGGUGUCCUGACUGGACAGCAGAAUGCAAAACACACAUGUUCAACACGUGGACCAACACAGUUGGAGGUGAAGCCAAAUCCUCCACGAGUGCAUACCACAGUUUCCAGUAAAUACAAAGUGAAUGUAGCCAGUCAUCUCAAAAAGCAGCCAAACACAGCUGCCAACACUAGGGAGAACAGUAGCUCUAAGGCUUUUUCGUCAAGUACAAAGAAAACUCUCAACAGUGUCAGGAUGAGUCUUGGCCCCAUUGUUAAAACAAAAACUGGACUCAUUCCUGCGGUGACCCAGCCAAAAAACACACAGUCCCACUUAAUUCAUUCCACUGCCACUGCAACUGGUUCCACCACCACUCCUUCUGUUACUAAUAAGGUGCGACCCAGCACCUCAUCAGUCUCUGUCUCCCAGAAGUCUGCCACGGCCCAGAGGAAAACACUAGCUACCGCUGCCGUAAACAAUCUUGUUAAUGAAAGAAAAACCAUCCCAACUGCGAGAGCUGGGAUUAAAGAUCAAGAUCAGAGCAAGUCUGGCUCAAAAUCACUUUUGGUCAAAAAUCCUCAGCCAUCUUGUAAGAGUCAGUUAAUGAGUGGACAGAAAUCAGUGUCCAUGUCCAAGUACACGACAGCACCGAUUAAGCUGGAGGGGAGAGGUGUGUUAAAAACUAAUAAAUUGGCUGGUGUGGCCACAGGCAGGUCCACAAAGCAGAAAUUGGAGGGCGGAGGGGAGAAAAAUGGACAACCGCGCACAGUUCCUACCCGAACAUCCUCGGGGCUGGCAAGCAGAGCGGCCAGCGGGGUUACGCGAGCUGCUGUGGCCGAGCUCGGGGGAAAGACUAAGAUAUGUAACGAGACUCAAAGCAAGAGGGUACACAGUUCAGCAAAUGCCCUACCACCACAAGUGAGCAUAAGAAGAGCAGGUGCUCCAGUGAUGUCGCAUACUGUGCCGCGGCCUGUCAGGACCAUCAGCCAUACAGGCAACGCCGCGGACGUGAAGACGCCGAAGGUUCCAGUCAGGGUUAUUCCCCAGACUGAAGGAAAGAAACUGACUGCUGCCCAAGAGGAAAGAAUGAGAAAACUGCAGGAAUGGCGGGAAGCUAAGGGAAUAUCCUACAAGCGUCCUCCGAUGCCAGUGAAACCCCAGGUCAGGCGCACUGUGGCUGUGCCCCAGCCCUUCUGGACAACCAUGACGGAGGAGGACGAGGCCCACUCCCUCAUCUGUGCUGUGGACAGGUCCCUGGCUGACUGCAUCAAAUUGCUUGGAGAGGGUUGCCCCCAAGACCAGGUGAGGGAGGUUCUCUCGCGGCUGCCGGCGGUGUCCCAGAAGUUUGCCAAAUACUGGAUCUGUCAGGCCCGACUGAUGGAGAAGGAGGGCAACCUGGACGUCCUGCCCAUGUUUGAAGAGGCUGUUCGUGUUGUGUUGGAGCCAGUGGACGAGUUGAGGGCUGUGGUGUUUGAGAUUCUGAAGAAAAAGGACGAGAUCCAAGAAUCUGAAGCAAAAGAGACAAAGAAAGACCAAAGCCCAGCGGUGGAAAGCUCUCCUGAAAGCAGCAACAACCCAAUGAUGACCCCGAAACCUGUCAGAGCUCUCAUCUGUGGAGAGAAAGGAGACUCAUCUGUCGUCAAGUAUAAGAUCACAGCGACUCCUGGCGGCCCUCCGAGCCAACAGAGAGACCCGGCGCGGGUCAACGGCCAAGAGGUUCGCUUUUUUACCCCGGUCCGACGCUCGGUGCGAAUCGAGAGAGCCUCGCUCCGAUACCCCGCGUCCCUCCAGGACCACGAUCUCUGCGUGGCCUCCUACAAUGACCUGAUCUCCGAGGAGGAUAAAGAGGAAAGCGAAGAGCGAGAGGGCGGGGAAACGAGCCCGGCUGUCAAAGACACGCCGCUGUACGUCUACAGGGAGAACGAAGCGCUUAAAGACAAGAUGUUUGUCGAGCUGGUCUGUGAUUAAGGCAUUUGACCUUACUCCGCGUCGACCAGUGUUUAGUUGAGUCAGAAGUCAGAUGGUCACUGUCCACAAAGCAGGAAAGAAAAAAAACACGUGCAUGUGUUGUCAGAUCUCACCUGAAGAAAAGAAGGUGUGUCCGCUGAAGUUUGACUGGAAUUUGUCAGCCAUUAUGCUACCAAAAAACCAGGGCUUCUUUCAAAGCGACUAACCGAAACUCUGGACAUGAAGUUACGACAUGAAACCAAGUUACGACAUGAACCAUUGUUCAGAAUGUGUGUAAUGUUAUUGCAACAUUUCUCAGUGCAACAAAAUAUACUGGCAAGUUAUGUUUCAACAAGAGGCUUCUUGUGUCAGGUUUUAUUUUAUGCUUGAGCGAAGACGCUUAUAUUAUUUUACGAUUUUGAAAUGUACAGUAAGCUGCUAGUCUGACCUGUUUAGAUGGGGAUUGUUUUUGGUCCAGGACCCGGUUUUCAGUUUUUUUCUGUAUCUUUAAAUGGGCGCUGAAAAAUUGAGAGAAAUCAUAACGUCUUGAUUUGACGCAGAAGAUCAAGGCCGCACUAACAUUGUAAUAUUCAGAUCAAUUAUUGAGACGUUUCAGCUGGUCGCCUUGAAGUUAAAACUAAAUGUAUCGACAGUGUAGCGAGCACUUCCCACCAACAGAUAAUUUCCCCACUGUCCUCAUGCUACAGUGUCAUCUCUGUAAACUUUGAUAUCAUCUUUUUCAUGUAACAAAUUAACAAGUUCCAGAAGACAUGCCGCACAUUUGAAACAAACAUUUGUCCACUUUUUAAAUUUUUUUAUAACUGAAAACAUGCAAGAAAACACAUCAUAUCACAGAUCAGAAGUGAAACUGACAGUGAUGGAGUUAGCUUUACUCAUCCUCAACAACCCCAGAAUAACUGAGACAUUGUUUCUAGACAGAAAAGUUGCUGUUGAGCUUCUCAAAUGUAACUUUUCAAGGAUUUUGAGAACCACAAAUGAAAUUCCACAAGUGGAUGUUUUGUCCCCUGAAGUGAUAAAGGCCUUAAACCUCCCAUGGUUUUGGAUGUAAAUGACUGAUGUUGAGUGAGAAAUGGUGCACCACUGCACUAGCUUAAGUGGAACAAGACCUAGUUUAUAGAUGAUGUUUGUCUUUGAGUUUAAACAUAGAUUGGUGGUUUGAAUAAACACUGGCA
Molecule: RNA transcript, 3585 nt
Organism: Lates calcarifer (barramundi perch)
Lineage: Eukaryota; Metazoa; Chordata; Actinopteri; Centropomidae
Gene: ckap2l
Gene name: cytoskeleton associated protein 2-like
Exons: 10
Source: RefSeq, a predicted model, not a curated record